GAUGAACGCUGGCGGCGUGCCUAAUACAUGCAAGUCGAGCGAACAGACGAGGAGCUUGCUCCUCUGACGUUAGCGGCGGACGGGUGAGUAACACGUGGAUAACCUACCUAUAAGACUGGGAUAACUUCGGGAAACCGGAGCUAAUACCGGAUAAUAUAUUGAACCGCAUGGUUCAAUAGUGAAAGACGGUUUUGCUGUCACUUAUAGAUGGAUCCGCGCCGCAUUAGCUAGUUGGUAAGGUAACGGCUUACCAAGGCAACGAUGCGUAGCCGACCUGAGAGGGUGAUCGGCCACACUGGAACUGAGACACGGUCCAGACUCCUACGGGAGGCAGCAGUAGGGAAUCUUCCGCAAUGGGCGAAAGCCUGACGGAGCAACGCCGCGUGAAUGAUGAAGGUCUUCGGAUUGUAAAACUCUGUUAUUAGGGAAGAACAAAUGCGUAAGUAACUAUGCACGUCUUGACGGUACCUAAUCAGAAAGCCACGGCUAACUACGUG
RNAcentral lists this ribosomal RNA (497 nucleotides) under uncultured bacterium. RNAcentral's name for it is "partial 16S ribosomal RNA". It matches the Rfam family "Bacterial small subunit ribosomal RNA", at positions 28 to 507 of the family's 1533-position model. The record is from RNAcentral.